UGAAGGAAGAGCCAUAGCUCAGGGGUAGAGCACCUGCUCUGCCCAUGAAAGGUUCUUGGUUCAAGCCCUGGCACCUUCAG
This is a non-coding RNA of Podarcis lilfordi (Lilford's wall lizard), 80 nucleotides long. The record is from the annotation of a GenBank genome assembly. NCBI's taxonomy places the organism in Eukaryota, Metazoa, Chordata, Lepidosauria, Squamata, Lacertidae.